CAAAAAGCUCCAAGAUAAGAGUGGCACUAGCACUGCGAGAAACCGUGGUCCUGGUACUCAUCCAUUGCCUCCUUCAAUGCCAUGCCUUCUAGGCGAUAUCACUAUUGGGAAGCCGAUCUGCAGUGGCCCACACUGACCGGGGUAACUGUACAUCGAGGAGGCACAGCGACAAAAUGGAUAAGUCGCCGCUCCUUCCCUUCUCAGCCAUUCAGCCGUAGGGUGUUUACACGCGGUAUGUGCCCAAGCCGCAUCUACCCAAUGAUGUGGACGUGGACUGCCAUCAGCAGCAGUAUCAGAACCUCAAUCUCAACGAGGAACUCUUGAGGUCAGGCCUCACCGACGAAAUCCUGCAGCCCACCGAGGAGAAGCAACCACAACAUGAUUUCGGAUUUCGCCUUUCCACAGAAGUUUCCCAUAAUCUACAUUAAUGACAACCACUGGGACAUCAAUUAGCCGGCGGCCUGAUUCGAUCUGUGCAUUGGUAGGAGGAGACCACUCUCUGCUGCUGACCAAGGGGUACUACAAUAAACGAGAGCCUGCAGAACCACCAGUGGCUACCAAUGGCUUCCGUCUCUGCGUACAAUACAGUUACGGACAUCUGGAUGCUCCUGCCCCUGGGAUGCUGAUGACUGUACCGAUGAGGUGCCGAGGCUGCUGUUCAUAUUGCUGGCCGAGGAACGCUCGUAGGGCGAGCAGUGAUUUCAUUGAAAUUAACUAUUACACAUAGCGAUAGACUCAAAAUGAUCUUGAUAUUAUGUUUAAGGAUAUACAUUGUACGUUGUUAUAUCUAGAAACGUAGUUUCUAAGUUACUAUAAAACAAGACUAUUAAAAAAUUA
RNAcentral lists this small RNA (837 nucleotides) under Drosophila pseudoobscura pseudoobscura. Its description in RNAcentral is "GA31456". Lineage: Eukaryota; Metazoa; Arthropoda; Insecta; Diptera; Drosophilidae. The record is from RNAcentral.